GUCGGAGUGGCGGAAUUGGCAGACGCGCUAGCUUGAGGGGCUAGUGCCCAGUAUGGGCGUGGGGGUUCAAGUCCCCCCUCCGACACCA
Molecule: transfer RNA, 88 nt
Filed under: Acidimicrobiaceae bacterium
Lineage: Bacteria; Bacillati; Actinomycetota; Acidimicrobiia; Acidimicrobiales; Acidimicrobiaceae
Description: tRNA-Leu
Rfam family: tRNA
About the family: Transfer RNA (tRNA) molecules are approximately 80 nucleotides in length. Their secondary structure includes four short double-helical elements and three loops (D, anti-codon, and T loops).
Source: RNAcentral